Molecule: small nucleolar RNA, 138 nt
Filed under: Ornithorhynchus anatinus (platypus)
Lineage: Eukaryota; Metazoa; Chordata; Mammalia; Monotremata; Ornithorhynchidae
Source: RNAcentral
CUCCUCUCAGACUUGCACAUGGAGAGUUUCCAGUACUCUACCAGUCUCGACUAUGGGAGGGAGAGUCAAGCAGAAGCAUAUUCAUUCCAUCCCUAGCUUGGGCAGUGGCUAGCCAGUGGAAGACAAUCUGCUAUAAGU